RNAcentral lists this non-coding RNA (143 nucleotides) under Apaloderma vittatum (bar-tailed trogon). Its description in RNAcentral is "Eukaryotic large subunit ribosomal RNA". It matches the Rfam family "Eukaryotic large subunit ribosomal RNA", at positions 2825 to 2963 of the family's 3401-position model. The record is from Rfam by way of RNAcentral. Lineage: Eukaryota; Metazoa; Chordata; Aves; Trogoniformes; Trogonidae.
GAUAACUGGCUUGUGGUGGCCAAGUGUUCAUAGCAAUGUUGGGUUUUGAUCCGUCGAUGUCAGCUCUUCCUACCAUUGUGAAGCACAAUUCACCAAGCGUUGGAUUGCUCACUCACUUAUAGGGAACCAUCGUGAGACACGUU